Molecule: ribosomal RNA, 495 nt
Filed under: uncultured bacterium
Lineage: Bacteria
Description: partial 16S ribosomal RNA
Rfam family: Bacterial small subunit ribosomal RNA
Source: RNAcentral
GAUGAACGCUGGCGGCGUGCUUAACACAUGCAAGUCGAACGAAGCACCUCUCCCGAAGAUUGACACAGCUUGCUGUAGAUUGAUUCAUUUGAGGUGACUGAGUGGCGGACGGGUGAGUAACGCGUGGGUAACCUGCCUCAUAGAGGGGGACAACAGUUGGAAACGACUGCUAAUACCGCAUAGUAAGGAGAAUUCGCAUGUUUUCUUCUUGAAAGAUUUAUCGCUAUGAGAUGGACCCGCGUCUGAUUAGCUAGUUGGUAAGGUAACGGCUUACCAAGGCGACGAUCAGUAGCCGGCUUGAGAGAGUGAACGGCCACAUUGGGACUGAGACACGGCCCAAACUCCUACGGGAGGCAGCAGUGGGGAAUAUUGCACAAUGGGGGAAACCCUGAUGCAGCGACGCCGCGUGAGUGAAGAAGUAUUUCGGUAUGUAAAGCUCUAUCAGCAGGGAAGAUAAUGACGGUACCUGACUAAGAAGCCCCGGCUAACUACGUG